CCUACGGGUGGCAGCAGUGAGGAAUAUUGGUCAAUGGACGAGAGUCUGAACCAGCCAAGUAGCGUGAAGGAUGACUGCCCUAUGGGUUGUAAACUUCUUUUAUAUGGGAAUAAAACGUUCCACGUGUGGGAUUUUGUAUGUACCAUAUGAAUAAGGAUCGGCUAACUCCGUGCCAGCAGCCGCGGUAAUACGGAGGAUCCGAGCGUUAUCCGGAUUUAUUGGGUUUAAAGGGAGCGUAGGUGGAUUGUUAAGUCAGUUGUGAAAGUUUGCGGCUCAACCGUAAAAUUGCAGUUGAAACUGGCAGUCUUGAGUACAGUAGAGGUGGGCGGAAUUCGUGGUGUAGCGGUGAAAUGCUUAGAUAUCACGAAGAACUCCGAUUGCGAAGGCAGUUCACUGGACUGCAACUGACACUGAGGCUCGGAAGUGUGGGUAUCAAACAGGAUUAGAUACCCUAGUAGUC
Molecule: ribosomal RNA, 460 nt
Filed under: uncultured bacterium
Lineage: Bacteria
Description: partial 16S ribosomal RNA
Rfam family: Bacterial small subunit ribosomal RNA
Source: RNAcentral